GAAGCUCACUACUAUGUUUUACUUUUCCUAAAACUGUUUUAUAGAGUGUUGCUGUGCGCUGCUUUGUAAUGCAUCUGUGGGGGAGGUAUGACUGGCUUCGAUUGGCUCAUUCUGAACAAAAGCAGAUGAGGAACUACUGCGAUGCUGCUGAGGCUGGAGUUAUCUAGUUUAGACCGGCAGAUGGGUGCUGCCUUCAACACUGUUGAGGGUGUGAAGCUGAACCCUCCUCCUCCCCCCAUCCCGCCUGGCUCUGUGCACGUAACACCUGCCCGCUGCUUCACAGCAGAACAAUAUGUUCUCUCGAUUACUCCUGCUGCAAAAGAGGAACAACCGCUUUCACUUUCUGUUGCUGCUGGUAUGUUUUUAAGUAUGAGUGCUGAGAUCAGCAGUGCAGGUAUACUUCAGGGCAUCUGGUUCAUGAGAAGGUAUACAAGAGAAAAAAUAUUUGACUUCUUUCACUUUUUCUUGUGGGAACAAGGAAAGGAUACUAAGGAUACUGAAGAUAUUACUUGUAUUACUUGUGGGAACAAGUAAAGGAUACUGAAGAUAUUACUGAACCUGGUAUUAUGAGCAAUCACAAUGACCUAUAUAUACUAAAAAAAAAAAAGUUGGUUUUGCUUACAUGUCUGUGUAAAGUGUGGGCAUGUGGUUGCAUCUGCAAAAUUGCUUAAAUUGCUUACGGCAGCUUUAACACCUGCUGCAUUUCAAUCAUGCAGAGCUGUUUUCGAGAAAACAUAAACAUCUUCAGGAGGUUGUGGCAUCAGAGUGCAGGUAAAAUGUGCAGUUAAAGGACAACAACAGGAUUGAGAACACACAGAGGUACAUAAAAUCAGAGAUAGCCAAAGAAGAUUAUCACCCGCUCUGACAUCCAAUCCACAACCACCAGCUGCCCUCACGGCCUCAUGAUUCAGUGCAUAACACUGUUGACUGAACCAAGUCAGGCAUUUAAGAAAUCUGCAGGUAGCAGCCCUCAGUCAUCAGUAAAAUAAGUGUGUGAUGUGUCUUUAAUGGGAGCUUUUACCACAUGCUCAGACAAAACCACAAUAAAGGCAACACAGUGCAUUAGUAAAUGGAGUCU
Molecule: long non-coding RNA, 1078 nt
Organism: Cyprinus carpio (common carp)
Lineage: Eukaryota; Metazoa; Chordata; Actinopteri; Cypriniformes; Cyprinidae
Source: Ensembl